Molecule: long non-coding RNA, 6301 nt
Filed under: Ananas comosus (pineapple)
Lineage: Eukaryota; Viridiplantae; Streptophyta; Magnoliopsida; Poales; Bromeliaceae
Description: long non-coding RNA (ACOM_LNC020789)
Source: RNAcentral
AACGCGUUCGACUCCUCUCCAAGAACUUGCGGCAAUGUCAUGCGAAUUAGGGUUUUAGAAGGAGCAAUGUCGUGCGAAUUACGCUUUCGACUCCUCAUAUUUCUUCACAUUUCUUCACAAAAGUAAAAAAAAAAAAAUCUUACAAUUUCUUAAGAAGAGCCACAGACAACUGAAAAUCCUUCUAAAACUGAAGUACCCCUACACCUUGUCCUAUCCACCAAUUUAUCCACCAAUCACAUAUGUAAAAAACCAUUAAAGAUCUAUCAGGCAAUCAUAAAUAAAAAUAAAAUGACGUAACAAACAGAAAAAUAAAUACCUGGAUCAACCUCCACAUUUUUAUAAAGGUACAAAAUCCAGGAUCCUAUUAUCAGAAUAAAUGUCCCAACACCAACACCGAGAAGGUAUACUACCAAGUCAUACUGUCCCAAGUCUUCCUUCCAAACUUCUACCGGAUCUGUAAUAGCCACUUGAAAAAAAGAAGCAACGGCAUACAACAGGAGAGAGUAAAAAUGGUUGCGUUUUACUGCAUUUGAAUCCACCGAGUCACCGUCGUUAAAGUAGGUGCGCACUAAACCAGCGGUGACGAUUGCCGAGCACACGUGUGCCAUCAACUCACCAAAAUAGCGUCCUUUCUCAGAAACCCCCAACAAAAAAAAGAAAGUACUAUGAAAAUAUGAAUGGUUGAAACGACGGAAGUAACAAUGCACAACAGUAAGAGAUGGAUCUUGGAGUCGGAGUGUGUGGCGGGAGCAUGCUGAAACUCAAUUACAGAAGCUUUAACAAAAAGGAGAAGAUUCAAUAUUCAAACAGUAAUAUCCGAAAAAGCAAGAACUACAUCCGUGCACACAACAGACCAGGUAAAAAAGUUUCGUAAACAGAUUGAAAACCAAGUAUCCCCAAUUAAGAACAGCAAACAUCAGCAAGUAAAACCAUAGCAAUAUAAAGCAAAAAUAAGAAAUCUAUAAGGAUUGUCACCAUUCAAACUUCAGGGAUAUCGAAAUAACGUCACAUUUGAUUUUUAGGAUAGAAUUGAGCCAACCAAUUAUCUUAUUCUUUUCUAUCACUACUUCCGCACAAGUAAAACCAUAGCAAUAUAAAGCUAAAAUAAGAAAUUUAUAAGAAUUAACAAUCAAUCUCACCAUCCCAACUCCAGAGAUAUCGAAAUAGCAUCACAUUUGAUUUUCAAGUUAGAUUUGAGCCAACCAAUUAUCUUAUUCUUUUCUAUCACUACUUCCGCACAAGUAAAACCAUAGCAAUAUAAAGCACAAAUAAGAAAUCUAUAAGCAUUAACAAUCAAUCUCACCAUUCUAACAACAGGAAUAUCGAAAUACCAUCACAUUGGAUUUUCAAGUUAGAUUUGAGCCAACCAAUUAUCUUAUUACUUUCUAUCACUACUUCCGCACAAGUAAAACCAUAGCAAUAUAAAGCACAAAUAAGAAAUCUAUAAGCAUUAAGAAUCAAUCUCACCAUUCCAACUCCAGGGAUAUCGAAAUACUAUCACAUUUGAUUUUCAAGUUAAAUUUGAGCCAACCAAUUAUCUUAUUCUUUUCUAUCACUACUUCCGCAUAAGUAAAACCAUAGCAAUAUAAAGCACAAAUAAAAAUCUAAAAGGAUUAAAAUUCAAUCUCACCAUUCCAACUCCAGGGAUAUCGAAAUAACAUCACAUUUGAUUUUCAGGUUAGAUUUGAGCCAACCAAUUAUCUUAUUCUUUUCUAUCACUACAUCCGCACAAGUAAAACCAUAUCAAUAUAAAGUAAAAAUAAGAAAACUAUAAGGAUUAACAAUCAAUCUCACCAUUCCAACUCCAGGGAUAUCGAAAUAACAUCAAAUUUGAUUUUUAGGUUAGAUUUGAGCCAACCAAUUAUCUUAUUAUUUUCUAUCACUGCUUCCGCAUAAGUAAAACCAUAGCAAUAUAAAGCAAAAAUAAGAAAUCUAUAAGAAUUAACAAUCAAUCUCAUCAUUCAAACUCCAGGGAUAUCGAAAUAACAUCACAUUGCAUCAAUAGAAAAUGAAGAACAAAGCGUGCAAGAAGAUGAAGUUCUAUAUUGUAACGUACAUUGACAUAAAAGAUCAAAUUAGACCCAUAUAGGAAGAUGAAGAAGAUGAAUUAGAAGAAGAUGAAGAACCUACCCAUAAAAUGUCUGAGGAUUGGCCCAACGCGUUCGACUCCUCUCCAAGAACUUGCGGCAAUGUUUUGCGAAUUAGGGUUUUAGAGGGAGCAAUGUCGUGCGAAUUACGCUUUCGACUCCUCAUAUUUCUUCACAUUUCUUUACAAAAGUAAAAAAAAAAAAAAUCUUACAAUUUCUUAAGAAGAGCCACAGACAACUGAAAAUCCUUCUGAAACUGAAGUACCCCUACACCUUGUCCUAUCCACCAAUUUAUCCACCAAUCAUAUAUGUAAAAAACCAUUAAAGAUCUAUCAGGCAAUCAUAAAUAAAAAUAAAAUGAAGUAAUAAACAGAAAAAUAAAUACCUGGAACAACCUCCACAUUUUUAUAAAGGCACAAAAUCUAGUAUCUAUCAUCAGAUUAAAUGUCCCAACACCAACACCGACUAGGAAUACUACCCAGUCAUACUGUCCCAAGUCUUCCUUCCAAACUUUUACCGGGUCUGUAAUAGCCACUUGAAAAAAAGAUGCAACGGCAUACAACAGGAGAGAGUAAAAAUGGUUGCGUUUUACUGCAUUCGAAUCCACCGGGUCACCGUCGUUAAAGCUGGUGGGUACUAAACCAGCGGUGACGAUUGCCGAGCACACGUGUGCCAUCAACUCACCAAAAUAGCGUCCUUUCUCAUAGACCCCCAACAAAAAAAAGAAAGUACUAUGAAAAUAUGAAUGGUUGAAACGAUGGAAGUAACAAUGCACAACAGUAAGAGAUGGAUCUUGGAGUCGGAGUGUGUGGCGGGAGCAUGCUGAAACUCCAUUACAGAAGCUUUAACAAAAGGGAGAAGAUUCAAUAUUCAAACAGUAAUAUCCCAAAAACCAAGAACUAUAUCCGAGCACACAACAGACCAGGUAAAAAAGUUUCGCAAACAGAUUGAAAACCAAGCAUCGCCAAUUAAGAACAGCAAACAUCAGCAAUAGCAACAGCACAAGUAAAACCAUAGCAAUAUAAAGCAAAAAUAAGAAAUCUAUAAGGAUUGUCACCAUUCCAACUUCAGGGACAUCGAAAUAACGUCACAUUUGAUUUUUAGGCUAGAUUUGAGCCAACCAAUUAUCUUAUUCUUUUCUAUCACUACUUCCGCACAAGUAAAAUCAUAGCAAUAUAAAGCAAAAAUAAGAAAUUUAUAAGAAUUAACAAUCAAUCUCACGAUCCCAACUCCAGAGAUAUCGAAAUAGCAUCACAUUUGGUUUUCAAGUUAGAUUUGAGCCAACCAAUUAUCUUAUUAUUUUCUAUCACUACUUCCGCACAAGUAAAACCAUAGCAAUAUAAAGCAGAAAUAAGAAAUCUAUAAGGAUUAACAAUCAAUCUCACCAUUCCAACUUCAGGGAUAUAGAAAUACCAUCACAUUUGAUUUUCAAGUUAGAUUUGAGCCAACCAAUUAUCUUAUUAUUUUCUAUCACUACUUCCGCACAACCAAAACCAUAGCAAUAUAAAGCACAAAUAAGAAAUUUAUAAGUAUUAAGAAUCAAUCUCACCAUUCCAAUUCCAGAGAUAUCGAAAUAUAUCACAUUUGAUUUUCAAGUUAGAUUUGAGCCAACCAAUUAUCUUAUUCUUUUCUAUCACUACUUCCGCACAAGUAAAACCAUAGCAAUAUAAAACACAAAUAAGAAAUCUAUAAGGAUUAACAAUCAAUCUCACCAUUCCAACUCCAGGGAUAUCGAAAUAACAUCACAUUUGAUUUUCAGGUUAGAUUUGAGCCAACCAAUUAUCUUAUUCCUUUCUAUCACUGCUUCUGCACAAGUAAAAUCAUAGCAAUAUAAAGCAAAAAUAAGAAAUCUAUAAGGAUUAACAAUCAAUCUCACCAUUCCAACUCUAGGGAUAUCGAAAUAACAUCAUAUUGCAUCAAUAGAAGAUGAAGAACAAAACAUGCAAGAAGAUGAAGUUCUAUAUUGCAACGUACAUUGACAUAAAAGAUGAAAUCAGACCCAUAUAGGAAGAUGAAGAAGAUGAAUUAGAAGAAGAUGAAGAACCUACCCAUAAAAUGUCUGAGGAUUGGCCCAAUGUUUUCGACUCCUCUCCAAGAACUUGCUGCAAUGUCGUGCGAAUUAGGAUUUUAGAGGGAGCAAUAUCGUGCGAAUUACGCUUUCGACUCCUCAUAUUUCUUCACAUUUCUUCACAAAAGUAAAAAAAAAAAAAAAUCUUACAAUUUUUAAGAAGAGCCACAGACAACUGAAAAUCCUUUUGAAACUGAAGUACCCCUACACCUUGUCCUAUCCACCAAUUUAUCCACCAAUCUCAUCUGUAAAAAACUAUUAAAGAUCUAUCAGGCAAUCAUAAAUAAAAACAAAAUAAAGUAACAAACAGAAAAAUAAAUACCUGGUUCAACCUCCACAUUUUUAUAGAGGCACAAAAUCCAGGAUCCUAUCAUCAGAAUAAAAGUCCCAACACCAACACCGACUAGGAAUACUACCCAGUCAUACUGUCCCAAGUCUUCCUUCCAAACUUCUACCGAGUCUGUAAUAGCCACUUGAAAAAAAGAUGCAACGACAUACAACAGGAGAGAGUAAAAAUGGUUGCGUUUUACUGCAUUUGAAUCCACCGGGUCACCGUCGUUAAAGCAGGUGCGUACUAAACCAGCGGUGACGAUUGCCGAGCACACGUGUGUCAUCAACUUACCAAAAUAGCGUCCUUUCUCAGAGACCCCCAACAAAAAAAAAGGAAGUACUAUAGAAAUAUGAAUGGUUGAAACGACGGAAGUAACAAUGCACAACAGUAAGAGAUGGAUCUUGGAGUCGGAGUGUGUGGCGGGAGCAUGUUGAAACUCCAUUAAAGAAGCUAUAACAAAAGGGAGAAGAUUCAAUAUUCAAACAGUAAUAUCCCAAAAACCAAGAACUACAUCCGUGCACACAACAGACCAGGUAAAAAAGUUUCGCAAAUAGAUUGAAAACCAAGCAUCCCUAUUUAAGAACAGCAAACAUCAGCAAUAGCAAAGCACAAGUAAAACCAUAGCAAUAUAAAGCAAAAAUAAGAAAUCUAUAAGGAUUAACAAUCAAUCUCACCAUUUCAACAUCGGGGAUAUCGAAAUAACAUCACAUUUGAUUUUCAGGUAAGAUUUGAGCCAACCAAUUAUCUUAUUCUUUUCUAUCACUACAACAGCACAAGUAAAACCAUAGCAAUAUAAAGCAAAAAUAAGAAAUCUAUAAGGAUUAACAAUCAAUCUCACCAUUUCAACAUCGGGGAUAUCGAAAUAACAUCACAUUUGAUUUUCAGGUAAGAUUUGAGCCAACCAAUUAUCUUAUUCUUUUCUAUCACUACAUCCGCACAAGUAAAACCAUAGCAAUAUAAAGCAAAAAUAAGAAAUCUAUAAGGAUUAACAAUCAAUCUCACCAUUCCAACUCCAGGGAUAUCGAAAUAACAUCACAUUUGAUUUUCAGGUUAGAUUUGAGCCAACCAAUUAUCUUAUUAUUUUCUAUCACUACUUCCGCAUAAGUAAAGCCAUAACAAUAUAAAGCAAAAAUAAGAAAUCUAUAAGGAUUAACAAUCAAUCUAACCAUUCAAACUCCAGGGAUAUCGGAAUAACAUCACAUUGCAUCAAUAGAAGAUGAAGAACAAAGCGUGUAAGAAGAUGAAGUUCUAUAUUGUAACGUACAUUGACAUAAAAGAUCAAAUCAGACCCAUAUAGGAAGAUGAAGAAGAUGAAUUAGAAGAAGAAGAAGAACCUACCCAUAAAAUGUCUGAGGAUUGGCCCAACGCGUUCGACUCCUCUCCAAGAACUUGCGGCAAUGUCGUGCGAAUUAGGGUUUUAGAGGGAGCAAUGUCGUGCGAAUUACGUUUUCGACUCCUCAUAUUUCUUCACAUUUCUUCACAAAAGUAAAAAAAAAAAAAAAUCUUACAAUUUUUAAGAAGAGCCACAGACAACUGAAAAUCCUUUUGAAACUGAAGUACCCCUACACCUUGUCCUAUCCACCAAUUUAUCCACCAAUCUCAUCUGUAAAAAACUAUUAAAGAUCUAUCAGGCAAUCAUAAAUAAAAACAAAAUAAAGUAACAAACAGAAAAAUAAAUACCUGGUUCAACCUCCACAUUUUUAUAGAGGCACAAAAUCCAGGAUCCUAUCAUCAGAAUAAAAGUCCCAACACCAACACCGACUAGGAAUACUACCCAGUCAUACUGUCCCAAGUCUUCCUUCCAAACUUCUACCG